RNAcentral lists this ribosomal RNA (1372 nucleotides) under uncultured bacterium. RNAcentral describes it as "bacterial SSU rRNA". It matches the Rfam family "Bacterial small subunit ribosomal RNA", at positions 28 to 1381 of the family's 1533-position model. The record is from RNAcentral.
GAUGAACGCUGGCGGCGUGCCUAAUACAUGCAAGUCGAGCGAACGGACGAGAAGCUUGCUUUUCUGAUGUUAGCGGCGGACGGGUGAGUAACACGUGGAUAACCUACCUAUAAGACUGGGAUAACUUCGGGAAACCGGAGCUAAUACCGGAUAAUAUUUUGAACCGCAUGGUUCAAAAGUGAAAGACGGUCUUGCUGUCACUUAUAGAUGGAUCCGCGCUGCAUUAGCUAGUUGGUAAGGUAACGGCUUACCAAGGCAACGAUGCAUAGCCGACCUGAGAGGGUGAUCGGCCACACUGGAACUGAGACACGGUCCAGACUCCUACGGGAGGCAGCAGUAGGGAAUCUUCCGCAAUGGGCGAAAGCCUGACGGAGCAACGCCGCGUGAGUGAUGAAGGUCUUCGGAUCGUAAAACUCUGUUAUUAGGGAAGAACAUAUGUGUAAGUAACUGUGCACAUCUUGACGGUACCUAAUCAGAAAGCCACGGCUAACUACGUGCCAGCAGCCGCGGUAAUACGUAGGUGGCAAGCGUUAUCCGGAAUUAUUGGGCGUAAAGCGCGCGUAGGCGGUUUUUUAAGUCUGAUGUGAAAGCCCACGGCUCAACCGUGGAGGGUCAUUGGAAACUGGAAAACUUGAGUGCAGAAGAGGAAAGUGGAAUUCCAUGUGUAGCGGUGAAAUGCGCAGAGAUAUGGAGGAACACCAGUGGCGAAGGCGACUUUCUGGUCUGUAACUGACGCUGAUGUGCGAAAGCGUGGGGAUCAAACAGGAUUAGAUACCCUGGUAGUCCACGCCGUAAACGAUGAGUGCUAAGUGUUAGGGGGUUUCCGCCCCUUAGUGCUGCAGCUAACGCAUUAAGCACUCCGCCUGGGGAGUACGACCGCAAGGUUGAAACUCAAAGGAAUUGACGGGGACCCGCACAAGCGGUGGAGCAUGUGGUUUAAUUCGAAGCAACGCGAAGAACCUUACCAAAUCUUGACAUCCUUUGACAACUCUAGAGAUAGAGCCUUCCCCUUCGGGGGACAAAGUGACAGGUGGUGCAUGGUUGUCGUCAGCUCGUGUCGUGAGAUGUUGGGUUAAGUCCCGCAACGAGCGCAACCCUUAAGCUUAGUUGCCAUCAUUAAGUUGGGCACUCUAGGUUGACUGCCGGUGACAAACCGGAGGAAGGUGGGGAUGACGUCAAAUCAUCAUGCCCCUUAUGAUUUGGGCUACACACGUGCUACAAUGGACAAUACAAAGGGCAGCGAAACCGCGAGGUCAAGCAAAUCCCAUAAAGUUGUUCUCAGUUCGGAUUGUAGUCUGCAACUCGACUACAUGAAGCUGGAAUCGCUAGUAAUCGUAGAUCAGCAUGCUACGGUGAAUACGUUCCCGGGUCU